UACGUAGGGCGCAAGCGUUGUCCGGAAUUAUUGGGCGUAAAGAGCUCGUAGGCGGCUUGUCACGUCGGGUGUGAAAGCCCGGGGCUUAACCCCGGGUCUGCAUUCGAUACGGGCAGGCUAGAGUGUGGUAGGGGAGAUCGGAAUUCCUGGUGUAGCGGUGAAAUGCGCAGAUAUCAGGAGGAACACCGGUGGCGAAGGCGGAUCUCUGGGCCGAAACUGACGCUGAGGAGCGAAAGCGUGGGGAGCAAACAGG
RNAcentral lists this ribosomal RNA (253 nucleotides) under uncultured bacterium. Its description in RNAcentral is "partial 16S ribosomal RNA". It matches the Rfam family "Bacterial small subunit ribosomal RNA", at positions 524 to 776 of the family's 1533-position model. The record is from RNAcentral.